CAAAAGCAAAACUCCAUCUCAUAAUAAUAAUAAUCUAUAACAAAGAUGAAAAAUUAACAGUUUCAUGGUUUUAAAGCAAACUGCUUGUUGAUUAUUUAAAAAGUUGAAUUAAUGAGUAACCACGUCUGCAUCUCAUGCUAAAAUUAAUCUAGAGUGAGUCCAGAGAAACUUAGCAGCUGGGCCAAUAUUCAGGCCUGGCUCAAGUGCUCUAUUCAAGGAGGUUGGUUCAGUACAUCAGCUUUCACUUAUAAAAUGGAUGGGCUGGUCUGAAGGUAGUGAGUUAUCUCAACUGAUUGUUCACAGUCAGUUACAGAUGAAACCCCUUAUUCUGCUCUUUCUCCCCUUCUCACUACUGCUAUUGAGUAGUCUUAAAAAAAAAAAAAAAGGACAGCAGGCAGCCAUUAACAAGAAUGAGCUUUGUAUGGGCAAGGAAAGACGUCUGUGAUGUUACUAAGUUAAAAAAAUAAACAUGUAAAACAGCAUACCUAAUGUGAUCUCAUUUAUAUUUGUGCAAAUAUGUGCUAAU
Molecule: long non-coding RNA, 526 nt
Filed under: Homo sapiens (human)
Lineage: Eukaryota; Metazoa; Chordata; Mammalia; Primates; Hominidae
Description: HSALNT0179807
Rfam family: Y RNA (bases 260-372)
Source: RNAcentral